UGACAUACUUAUUAAAUAAAUAAACACACAAUUCCUUUGUGUGUUUAUUUAUUUAAA
Molecule: transfer RNA, 57 nt
Filed under: Dracunculus medinensis (Guinea worm)
Lineage: Eukaryota; Metazoa; Nematoda; Chromadorea; Rhabditida; Dracunculidae
Description: tRNA-Asn
Source: RNAcentral